RNAcentral lists this ribosomal RNA (608 nucleotides) under Escherichia coli. RNAcentral describes it as "bacterial SSU rRNA". It matches the Rfam family "Bacterial small subunit ribosomal RNA", at positions 783 to 1391 of the family's 1533-position model. The record is from RNAcentral. Lineage: Bacteria; Pseudomonadati; Pseudomonadota; Gammaproteobacteria; Enterobacterales; Enterobacteriaceae.
UACCCUGGUAGUCCACGCUGUAAACGAUGUCGACUUGGAGGUUGUGCCCUUGAGGUGUGGCUUCCGGAGCUAACGCGUUAAGUCGACCGCCUGGGGAGUACGGCCGCAAGGUUAAAACUCAAAUGAAUUGACGGGGGCCCGCACAAGCGGUGGAGCAUGUGGUUUAAUUCGAUGCAACGCGAAGAACCUUACCUGGUCUUGACAUCCACGGAAGUUUUCAGAGAUGAGAAUGUGCCUUCGGGAACCGUGAGACAGGUGCUGCAUGGCUGUCGUCAGCUCGUGUUGUGAAAUGUUGGGUUAAGUCCCGCAACGAGCGCAACCCUUAUCCUUUGUUGCCAGCGGUCCGGCCGGGAACUCAAAGGAGACUGCCAGUGAUAAACUGGAGGAAGGUGGGGAUGACGUCAAGUCAUCAUGGCCCUUACGACCAGGGCUACACACGUGCUACAAUGGCGCAUACAAAGAGAAGCGACCUCGCGAGAGCAAGCGGACCUCAUAAAGUGCGUCGUAGUCCGGAUUGGAGUCUGCAACUCGACUCCAUGAAGUCGGAAUCGCUAGUAAUCGUGGAUCAGAAUGCCACGGUGAAUACGUUCCCGGGCCUUGUACACACC